CGAUCUGCUGUGGGCAAAUAAAAUGGAUAUGGCUGUCAAAUCCACCGGCUGUCAAAAUGCGGUUUUCGCCCGCAAUGACCUCGGUGCCCGGGCCAACAAUGACAUCGACCCCGGGCUGUGUGUCCGGGUUUCCGGCUUUGCCAAUGGUCUGGAUACGCCCACCUUUCAGGCCAACAUCCGCUUUGUAGAUGCCGGAAUGGUCAACGAUCAGCGCGUUGGUAAUAACCGUAUCCACGGCCCCUUCGGCGCGUGUGGCCUGGGAUUGUCCCAUCCCAUCGCG
This 280-nucleotide small RNA is filed under the name uncultured Shimia sp. RNAcentral describes it as "5' ureB small RNA". It matches the Rfam family "5' ureB small RNA". The record is from RNAcentral. Lineage: Bacteria; Pseudomonadati; Pseudomonadota; Alphaproteobacteria; Rhodobacterales; Roseobacteraceae.